This 67-nucleotide transfer RNA is filed under the name Osteogaster rabauti (rust corydoras). Its description in RNAcentral is "Corydoras rabauti (rust corydoras) tRNA-Cys". It matches the Rfam family "tRNA". Rfam says of the family: Transfer RNA (tRNA) molecules are approximately 80 nucleotides in length. Their secondary structure includes four short double-helical elements and three loops (D, anti-codon, and T loops). Further hydrogen bonds mediate the characteristic L-shaped molecular structure. tRNAs have two regions of fundamental functional importance: the anti-codon, which is responsible for specific mRNA codon recognition, and the 3' end, to which the tRNAs corresponding amino acid is attached (by aminoacyl-tRNA synthetases). tRNAs cope with the degeneracy of the genetic code in two manners: having more than one tRNA (with a specific anti-codon) for a particular amino acid; and 'wobble' base-pairing, i.e. permitting non-standard base-pairing at the 3rd anti-codon position. The record is from RNAcentral. Lineage: Eukaryota; Metazoa; Chordata; Actinopteri; Siluriformes; Callichthyidae.
AGCUCCGUGGUGUACGACAUGUUGGAUUGCAAAUCCAAAGAUGUAGGCUAAUUGCCUGCCGGGGCUU